CCUACGUGGAGCAGCAGUGAGGAAUAUUGGUCAAUGGGCGCGAGCCUGAACCAACCAAGUCGCGUGAGGGAUGACGGUCCUACGGAUUGUAAACCUCUUUUGCCGGGGAGCAAGCGUGCGUUCGUGAACGCACGUCGAGAAUACCCGGAGAAAAAGCAUCGGCUAACGACGUGCCAGCAGCCGCGGUAAUACGGAGGAUGCGAGCGUUAUCCGGAUUUAUUGGGUUUAAAGGGUGCGUAGGCGGGAUGCCAAGUCAGCGGUAAAAAUGCGGUGCUCAACGCCGUCGAGCCGUUGAAACUGGCGUUCGUGAGUGGGCGAGAAGUAUGCGGAAUGCGUGGUGUAGCGGUGAAAUGCAUAGAUAUCACGCAGAACCCCGAUUGCGAAGGCAGCCUUCCGGCGCCCUACUGACGCUGAGGCACGAAAGUGCGGGGAUCGAACAGGAUUAGAUACCCUUGUAGUC
RNAcentral lists this ribosomal RNA (460 nucleotides) under uncultured bacterium. RNAcentral's name for it is "partial 16S ribosomal RNA". It matches the Rfam family "Bacterial small subunit ribosomal RNA", at positions 338 to 795 of the family's 1533-position model. The record is from RNAcentral.